Long non-coding RNA from Equus caballus (horse), 8751 nucleotides. The record is from Ensembl. Lineage: Eukaryota; Metazoa; Chordata; Mammalia; Perissodactyla; Equidae.
GACCCAGCAAUUCCAUCCAAGAUGAGUCAAGACGUACGGCCACGCAAAGGCUUAUACAUGAAUAUUCAUGGCAGCUUUAUUUGAAAUACCCACAAAGUUGAAACAACCUGAAUGUCCGUCAACUGGUGAAUAGAAAGACGAACUGUGAAACACUCACACCGCGGAAUACUACUCAGCAAUAAAAAUGAAUUACCUAUUGAUACAUGUCACAACAUGGAUGAAUCUCAAAAAACAUUAUGAUUCCCGAAAGCGCGAAAGAGUACACAUUGUAUAAUUUCAUGUGUAUGAAGUUCUGCAACAGGCGAAGCUUAUAUACAGUGCCAGAAACAGAUCAGUGGUUACGUUUAGGGUAAGGAGUGGGAGGACUUCCCAGAAAGGGAAGGAAGGAACUUUCCGGGACGAUGGAAAUGUUCUAUAUAUUGUUUAUAGUGGUGAUUGCACUAAUGCUUACAAAUGUCAAAAUUCAUCAAAUUAAAAUUUAUGCAUUUCAUGGUAUGUGAAUUACAUCUUAUUUUUAAAAAAACCCUGAGUUGUGAACUGCUACCACCAGGUGGCAGUGGUGCCUAAUGCCCAAGAGACUGUAAAGUUGGCACUGUGACCAAGAUUUGUGAAUCGUUAUAUUUGAGUGUUCCUGAAAACAUGAGGCAUUGUCUUGUGGGCAUGUAUUUUUAAUUUCAAUCAAUACUAUUGUGCAAGAGGGCUCUGUUCCUGACGUUUUUAUCCCCUCUUCAGCACCGUGUGUUAAAGAUCUGUUUACGUUGCUAUGUAUACACCAUUGGUUGCUAGUUUACUGCUCCUUAUUAUGAAAGACUUUCCAAUGAUGGACACCUCAUUGUAUCCAGCUCCCCAACCAUCACAAACAACUUUGUGAUAAAACACCCUCUUACGUGUCUCCCCGUGGACCUGUAUGAGAAGUUCUCUAAUUAUAUAGCCUGCAAUGGGAUCCUUCCCACAUCUGCUCUUAUUUAUUUAUUUGUAUUUUUUAUCCCCUUCUACUUAAUAAAUAUCCCCCAGAUUAUUUAUGAAAAAACAGCUGAAUCUGAGCAUCCUAAACUUUUAUUUAAUUUUAUUUUUUAUAUAUGUAUAUGUUUUUCUGGUGAGGAAGAUUGUCCCUGACCUAACAUCUGUGCCCAUCUUCCUCUAUUUUGUGUGUGGGAUGCUGGCAUAGCAUGGCUUGAUGAACAGUGUGUGGGUCCACACCCAGGACCCGAACUUGCAAACCUCAGACCACUGAAGCGAAGCGUGUGUAACCACUAUGCCACCGGGCUGGCUCCUAAACUUUUAAAUUAAAGGAAAUACUUGUUGUGAGUCCGUUUAUUUUUUUUUGUCUCCUUGCAAAACGUGUAAUGUUGUUUAUGAUGUCGUUUAAACAUACAAAAUAGUAUUGCUGACUGAGAUUUGGACCUCCAAAUGCAUAAUCACGGAUUUUCACCUACUGAAUAAAUUUUCCCCAAAUGUUCAUGGUAAAACGGCUGAAUUUAAGCAACAUCCUAAAUGUUAACUUCAAGGUGAUGUGUUAGAACAAUGUUUAAGGCAAGAUUCCUCAACAGUGGCACCACUGACACUUGAGACCUGAUAAUUCUUUGCUGUGGGGGCUGUCCUGUGCAUUACAGGACGUUGAGCAGCAUCCCUGGCCACCCCCCACUAGACACCAGUAGCACCCUCCUCCUUGUUGUGACAACCAAAAAUGUCUCCAGAUGCUGAGGAACAUGGAAUGGGAGGGGCAAAAUCGCCUUGAGUUAGGAGCCACUGUUUAAGGUAAAUGAACUCUGGGAUUCACUUGGGGCCUUUUUCUAGACUCUUCCUUUCUUUUUGUCAGUUUAUUUCAACUCUAAUCCCAGCUACGCACUUGCAGUAUGUGGUCCCUUUUAAAACUCCGAUCCUCCCCUGCCUUCUGGCUGGAGCACAGCUCUUCCUGGGGAUACUUACGGGCAUCCUUAGUCUUUUAGCGGACUGAGCACCAAGCAGUGCUCCUGGUUCCCUUCUCUCUUGGUUUCCUGGCUUCUCCCUCUCAGCCACUGCAGUGGGUCAGAGGAGGAAGAAGGAGUCGGAAUUUCUCCUUGUGUCCUCCUCCCCGAGGAAUCCAGAAGAGCAGAGAGAGCCCCACAGUCUGAUGACUCAGGUGGCAAGGGGAACAGAAAAGGAAGCCUCUAUUUCUUUUUGGUUCUCACAUCUUCUUCCCUUACCGGCUAGCUAGAUCUCCUUCGUAACUUAAUUUUUACCCACAAUCCUUGGAUGAAUACCCAGAGUCAUGACUGUCCCUGUAUUCCUCAGCACACAAGCAAUAAGAUGCUUCUCAGGAAAGUUCUCUGUGGUCAUAUUAGUGAGGGCAACGCUGCCUACUGGAUCCCUCUCCUAGACACUAGCAAUGACCACGAGUCUAUUAUAGCCUCCAGAAGCUCUUCAGAUGUCUAUUUUUAAUCCAGCAUUUUCCAGAUUAAGUGACUACAGAACCUUCUUACCUCCCCUCCAUCUUUUAACAAAUAUCUAUUAACACCCCCAGAACUGGUGUCCCAGGGAAUACAGUUUGGGGAAUGUUACCUAUUAACAACCUACAUCUUUUGUAAAUUGCCUUCAAAAGCCAUUAAUGCGUUUGUUCCUUUAUUCAAAAAAGCUGCUGAGCAUCCCCCAUGCCAGGUAUUAGGGCUCCAAAGAUGAUUUGUCCAGCAGCCCCGGGGCGGCAGAGGUGCAGGCGAGUCCAGCUGUCAGCAGCUGUAUCAAGGUUUGAGCGAGGUGUUGGGGAAACGAAGGGAGCAGUGAUUAAUUCUGACACUGGAGUUCUGAUCCUCUUCACAGAUUCGGCAGUAUCCCACUAAGCCUAGAAUACAGGACUGGGCCCCUUCCAUCCCGUGGGAUCAGGGGCUUCUUAGAAAGGCCCGGUCUCAGGCUCCACCUUAGAAUGACCGAGUCGGAACCUGUGCUUUAACAAGGGCCCCAGAUGAUCUUUACGUCCCUCACUGUGUGAGAAGCGCUGCCUGGAAAUGAGCACGCCUUCUGACGAGAAUGUAAACAGAACCAAAAUGCACUUCUGUGUGGUGUCUCGGCCAAAGGUGGAAAGAACAGGAAGGGAAGACCGGUCAGGGCAAGAAGUGUCGUCUGUUCUCUCCUAGCCCUCACUUCACAGUGGCUGAUUCAAGAGGGAAGCCUGCAGGGAUGUCAUCAGGGAGCCAGGACGGUAAGGAGGCCGUCCCUGUGGGCCUGCUUGCCUAGAUGUCUGCUGUGGCCGGCUAGGCUUCCGAAGCACAAGGCACGAGGCACGACGCACACUGGGAAAAAGAGAAGGAGCAGGUUCAGAGGGGAAAGGGAUACACCAUCUCCGCCGUGGGCCAGGCGAGCGGCCAGCUCAGGGCCACAGAGCCCAGGGCGCAGGGCUCUAUAUAGAGAACUUGCGGCUUCUUUCUCUUGAUCCUCAACACUGGUCAAGGGAGGAGGUGCAGGGAGGUUGAUGGUAGCGUCAGGAGGCAAAGACGGGCAGGGCGAGUGUCCCUAGAGGCUGGUAGGAGGUCACGCCCUGGGCACUGGGGGGACGGAACUCUGCAGGCCGCAGAGACUGCAGGCAGAGACUGCAGGCAGCGCAGCCUUGGCCAGGGCCCGGGGGUGGGGAGUGCCCAGGGAAAGGCUCUUCCCACAGACUUGCCUUGUGACGGGUGGGGUGACUAGCCCAGGUGGGAGGUAACUAAGGGGAGGAAACCACAUGGAUAACCGUGAUGAAGGGUAGCAGAAUACGCCCACCGAACAUAUGACUGCAGGAGUUCAGGACACGCCACCCUGAAACACCCUGCUUUGGUAUAUUGAGCAUUUUGAGCUGAUGGCACUUGAAAAACAGCAAAUGCCAGGAGAGCUUUCUCUGAACUCCCCUUAUUUGCCUAAAGACAGAUCCUCCUAAAGAAGCUCUCUGUCCCACAUCCCCUCCCCAGAGGUACCAUCACGCAGGGAAGACUGACUCUUAUCAGUGGAGAGGAGACUAGAAGUCGACACCACACCCAGAAGACAAACUCCAUCACAAACCAUAACACCUCCCCUCCAUUCUUCUAAGGGCCCAUUCGUCUUCCCUAAAAAUCACUUCCUUCUGCUAAGAGGCCUACAUUCCCCUCCCCUCUCCAUAUCAAGAUGGUAUUUAGUCCUGAACUCUGAGCCACCUCGGGGAGUUACUCAUUUUCCCCUGGGUGUCUCCCGUGCAUACACGUGGCAGAUACGUGCGUAAACUUCUGUUUGUUUUUCUGUAGUUAACUGUCUUCUAUUACAGGGCUCUCAGCUAAGAACUCAGAAGGUAGAGAGAAAAUCAUUUUUCGUCUCCUACAACAGCAAAACGAAACAAAAUAUCGAAAUACCAACACUGCCUUUCAGCACAUUUCCCUGCCCUGACCCCAGGAGGAGGCCUUACGGGUGAUGCAUCAGGGGUGCGGGUACGUGCCCUCCAGACGGCCAGAACCCAAUGCCUGAUUCACCAGGAUGAAGAAUUCUUGCUAUUUCACUUAAAUAUUCCAAAGGUAAUUCAGGCAGGAAUCAGGUAGACAGAGAUGGGCUAAGGGAGAUGCCAUUUCAUGUCCCUCCUCAGAGGAAAGGGCCCGAGCACAGGCCCAAAGGCAGGACCACACUCACCUCGGCAGGAACAAGGACAUCAGCUUACAUGUUCCCUCCGGUCCUGAUUAAGCCGGCCUGAUGGUGCUUUCCACUCUCCAAGGAUACCAUUCAUACCCUGCGCGUGUCACUGGUGGUAGAGUCCCACACCUGUCCCCAAGGACACGGCUACUUCUGACUCAACUUAUUUUCCAGAAGCCCCCUACAGUUGGCCCCAACUCACCCUGCCUGGAAGACAAGAACUCCCCAGAUCUCCGCAGUAGGUACCCAGGGUGACAGGACUCACGAUAGCGACCGCACUCCCACCGGCAGCCCUCAGCAGAAGGUCCCUGUGGCACCACCUCCUCCUCUCUUCUGAAGAAAGAGUUAACCCGACAGUUGUUUGCCAAGGUUCCCGCACUAACCAGGCCCAGGCGCCCAGGAAACGGAAGCCCUGGCUGGGACUUGCCGCUCAGUCUGGGUCGUUCCUGAUAAUGUGAGCAGAUCAUGCCGCACAUGUUCUCUUAGAAAAAGCAGAUAAAAUUCUGGAUACAAAAGCAAUUCAUGCUCAUUGUAGAAAAAUUGGAGUAUUAAAAAAAUAUAAAGGAAAAAAAUAAGUACCACCCCUAAUUCCACCACCUAAACGCAACCUCUUUGUACAUUUUGGUGACUUCCUUACAAGUUCUCUUUUUCUCUGCUCGUGUGUGUAUGCUUUUAACAUAACUGAGAUCGUGAUGACCGUAAGUUUCCUGCCUUCCUUUUUCACUUGGCAGCAUGUUAUAAGCUGUUGCUUAUUAAGGUUUGCUGUAAUCAUCAUUAAUAUUCCAUCCCGUCAUUCUGUCAUUUAGUUAGCCACGUUCCCAUAGUGCUUACAGGUUGAUAUUGCACUUCAACCAGGAAUGUGCAGAAAACCAGUGGUUCCUAUAAUCUUUGUUUUUAGCUGAGCUAGUCUCUUGCACAACUUCCCACCUGCUUAAUGGGAAAAUGAGCAACGAGUCUAACUGAAGAAUAACCUGAAGAGGCAAUUUAAGGAGGCUGCCUUUAAGGCGUUUAUCCUUCUCCACGAUCCCAUUUUGCGUGUCAGAAGCCCCCGUCUUUCUCCUUGUAUCCCCUCUGUAACAAACGCUGACCCCUGCUCCCCUCCUUCCCAUGGCUGCUGUACUGGCCAGGGCUCCGCGGAAAACAGACGGUUUGCCGAACAUGGUGACUGAAGGGUUUAAUGAAGGAUUAUUUACAAAGGUGCUGGCCGGGAUGAGUGUCCCGUUACCGGAGCUGAGCUGGAAGGUGGAGCAACAAGGACUCUGCAGAGGUCAGCCUCCCGGUGCGUGGAGCAGGGUGGAGAAUGGAGGAAGGCGGAUCUGCAGUGGCAAAUGGAGGAUAACCAGCCCACGAUUUGUGCUGAAGAGGAAAAGACAAAAGAAACAAGCACAUUAGUAAUUUUCAAAAUGCUGUACUCGUCCCAUUACAUAUCUAUUACUAUUAUUAAUAUUUUUAUUGAAGUAUAAUUGACAUACAUACAUAUCUCUAUUGGACUUUUAUAUUGGACUCAUUCUCACCUUUAUAAAUAGCAAAAGAGGACGUCUUUCAAACUCUAAAUGUUCUGAUGAAACUAAUGUAUAUUAAGAGAUUCUAAUGAGAGGCAGCACAGCCUCUCCCAGAGAUUGUAUUAAAGUCUCUUUUGGUUGUAAGUUACAGAAACACACUAGAGCUAGCUUAAACAGAAAAAGAAAAAUAAAAGAGGAGGAAAGUAGAAUUAUUAGGAGGCUGGGGCGUCUCCCAGGUGCAGUGGACUUCAGGAACAGACUGGCAGCCUCCAUCACUUGUUCCUUCUCCCUGUGCCCCUAUUUUGUUCUCCUCUCUGCUCUGUAGACCAGCUUCUUCUAUAUUUCCAGUCCACACAGCAGAAAAGAUGGCCGCCUGGUACUCCCAAGUUCACCGCAGUGUAGUCACCAGAGAGGGACUGAACCUUAUGUCUUAGUCCCUGUACCAGUCAGGGCCCAAUCAGGAGAUAGGAACCACACAGCAAUUUGAAUUGUGAAAGUUUAAUGUAAAGAAUUAUUAACUAUGUGAAAUAAAAUGAAAUCAAAAAUACUCCUGAGAACAAGAUGGACUCUGUGUGGCUAACGGGGACCUCAAAACAAAUGGAGCCAAGCAGCCAUGACGAGAGCAGGAUGCAGCCACGUACUCUGUUCUUGGGAAAACCACCGAAUGCGCUCUUAAGCUUUCACUCUGCCAAAGCCCCUAACGGCCACCUGGACCUAACCAACAAAACUGUGACCUGCACCAACUGAUCAGGACUCAGUGGGCUUGUAUCUCUUAUUUGCAUAAGCAGAUCUGAGUGGGAACCUGCACGGAAACUUUUUCUGUAAAGGCAUCCCCCUUUUCUUUGUUCUCCCCUGAGCCUACUUUCAGUUUGCUGCCGAAGGCCACAUCUCCCCGGUUUGCAAACUGUAUGAGGAAAAAAUUUUCCUAACUUAAUUCUUAUACUGGAUAUUUUUGUUAACAACUAUAACAGGGAUUGGAGUAACAAGGGAUCAGCCAGUAGGAAGUAAACAGAACUCUAGAAAGCACAACAAUAGCGGCUCCAAGGCUCAGGGCUGAGCUAGACCAUCCAAGAUAGAGCCCCGGGCCGCCACCCCAUGGCUGAGCUCCAGACCUUGUUGGAGAGGGCACGGCUGUGGUUCACUGGAUGGAAGAGAAGUCCCUAUGUUGCUGCACUGUCAGAACUCGCUAGAAAUCCACCCUCUAGGGUGCUUAAGAUGUGUUCACUGGAGUCACCCCUCUAUAAAACCACCUGUAGUGGGAGUGCCAGGGGAGGCUGCUGGCCUUCGGAUGAUUCUGGCCACCAUGCACUGGGGGAGAUGGAUGCUAAAGAAGCCAUCUAUCCUGGCUUGCAUCAGCAGGACCCUGAUGUUGAAGAAGUCGCUUGCAUUGCAGGAGCUGGAUACUGGAGGAGUUGUCCAAGCUGUAGAAGCCAGGUGCCACACGCUACAGGGGCCUGCUGAGCAGAGCACACCAGAAUCAGAAAGGAAAAUCCCUCCUACAACGACUCUCCAGUGCUCUCUAUUAACAAAGCAUAACUUUUGUCAGCCGGCACGGGAAACAUUUUAGAUGGCCCACUACAUUUUAUGGAGCAGAUAAUGAAGGUUGAAUUUGGAGCUGAGAGGCAAUCGAUUGACAACUAGCACCAUCCCAAGUCCAUGUGCCCAGAGAAGGAACGAUGAUUGGUCCAGCUCGUGCCACCCCUGGAUUGGUCAGUCACCUGUGCUCAGAAUGGAACUGCAUUAAUAAGAAAGUGGUGAGCAUGGAAAAGCAAGUGCAAGAGAGCAAACUGGUCACCAGGUAGCCUCCGCUCUCCAAGGGAGAGACACAAGCAUUUCAGUCGCUAGAGACGUUGUCUCUCCUCUAGAUCAGAGACACUUCAGCACUGAGCAGCCUGCUGAUUUUCCUUCCCUUCUACCCCAAUACCAGCUGGAGGACAGAUCUUGGGCAGUGGAUGCUCAUAGUCUGCUGUCUGGAAAGGGAUGUCAUGCAGUGUGAGCUACUACGUUGGCUGUGAUGGCUACCCUAGCCUUGAGAGGAAAUCCAUCACCAUGAGUCUGCUCUUAUCUGUGCACUAAGAAAAGCCAGUUUCUGAUACUGAGAAGCUAAGCAUCAGGUUGGCCUCAAGGGACUCAAUCAGGUGCUCUCCUGAAGGACCUGCACCCUAGACAACAUCGCUGCUGGCACAUUCCCCAAGGAAGAACCCUGCAGAACACGGAAUUGGGCAUGGAUGAAUAGUAUUCUACAAAUGUCUAACUAACAAUCAUUCUCUCAUUGCCGGACUUCCGGGCUGUGUCCAGUCUUUCGCUAUUACAUGUAAUACACGGAUGAACGUCUGUGUGAUCAGGGUUCUUUUUGCUGUUUUGUUUGUCUUUGUAUUUUAAGUGAUUCCCUGAGGAUAGAUCAUAAGAACUGGGAAUAAACUGAUGUCCUCUUUUUAGGGGGGAGAAAAACGUGAACAUUUUAAAGACGCUUGAGGCCCACUGCCCCAUGAUUUCAGAAAUGCGCCAAUUUCAGUCCACUAGAGGCAUCCUGACUUACACAGAGUAUUAUAGUUUAAUAUAUAUAUAGUUUAUACGUGUGUGCAUACAUUUGAAAUCUCGCUUUUUUACGUUUCUCUAGUUACUAUUAGGGUUAGAUAUCCAUGCC